UACGGGGGGAGCAAGCGUUGUUCGGAUUUACUGGGCGUAAAGGGCGCGUAGGCGGCUUAACAAGUCACUUGUGAAAUCUCCGGGCUUAACUCGGAACGGCCAAGUGAAACUGUCAAGCUAGAGUGCAGAAGGGGCAAUCGGAAUUCUUGGUGUAGCGGUGAAAUGCGUAGAUAUCAAGAGGAACACCUGAGGUGAAGGCGGGUUGCUGGGCUGACACUGACGCUGAGGCGCGAAAGCCAGGGGAGCAAACGGG
RNAcentral lists this ribosomal RNA (253 nucleotides) under uncultured bacterium. Its description in RNAcentral is "partial 16S ribosomal RNA". It matches the Rfam family "Bacterial small subunit ribosomal RNA", at positions 524 to 776 of the family's 1533-position model. The record is from RNAcentral.